Molecule: long non-coding RNA, 1834 nt
Filed under: Marmota monax (woodchuck)
Lineage: Eukaryota; Metazoa; Chordata; Mammalia; Rodentia; Sciuridae
Source: RNAcentral
CUAACAAGUAAAGUUCUGAGGAACAUAGUGGCUGGUGCCGGGACAUAAUUCUGAAAUUGACAGACUGCGUUACUUAAGAGGCAUAUCAAAUAAUUGUUUGUGAUGUAACAUAAAGCUUAAAUUUCGAAAAUGGAAAAAAAGGGUGAAUUUUUCAUCACCAAAAUGAGUAAUGUCAAGAAGGGUGGAAUGGAUCAAAAUUCUCCAUCAGAGUACAAGGCUCUAGUGAGUCUGUUACCAAAAUCUCAGUCUUGUCCCCAAGGCCAAUCCAAUAAUGAGGACACAGUUUUGAGAAAAAGGAAAACAAAGUUUUAUUUCUUUGUUAGCAGAGGAGAAACAUGGGGAUUCCUGUCCCAGGGGCUGUGAUCCUGCCCAUCAGGGGAACAGGAGGGUUUUAAGGAGGUGAUUUGAAGGCUAUAUCCCACAUGGUGUCUAUCUGAGUUGUAAUUUGAUUGUUAGUUUGGGAGAUAGUCAUUUCUUAGAUCUUUUGGUACCACCCAAAUCUGAAUUACUUUGUUUCUAUGGUGGUGUGUGCUCAAGGACAGUUAACUUCACGUAGGAUGGGGAAGAAAGGAAACCAUGUUUGUCCAAGAUUAGGGAGGAGGAGGGAGAGAGGAAGAGAAAGAAACAUGUCCAUUUUAAAAAUGGACAGUGGCAGAGCAACAAGGGCUAUAUCCAAAGCAUAAAGUGGACCACUAUUACAAGUGCAGUAAUCUAUACUGGAAAGAGGCCCCAGGUUUAGGAUUUCAAACCAGUUCUAUAUGAAGUAAUUUGUAAAAAAGUUUUUGUCACUAAACACUAAUUAGGACGGCUGGACAAUCUAUGUGCUAUUAGAAUACGGUCCCAUAUUCUUGAGGAAUCAAGAGUUCACUGGACAGAAUUAUUUGGAUCCCUAUCAGACAAAAAUGCACGAGUUAACCUGUAACUUCAAUAAGUCUGGGAUCUAAUUCAGAUUCUUAACAGGUGACAUUUGUUUAGAGACUUGAAUGACAUCAGGAGUGAAUAAGUGAAGAGAUGAAUCCUAGGAAGAGGAAGCAUUUUUUCUCUCUCCCACUCAAUCAUCAGUGAAGUAACAUGUUCUCAUUAAUAUCUGGGGGAUCAAGUGUAUCCUGGGUAAAUGAAGAAGUACAGACUCCCGACUACCAGCAGAGAAAAGAAGAUAGAGGCUACCCAGGAGCUCUGCCACAUAUGGAUUGAUAAUGCCACAGGCUGAGGGGUAAGGGUAGGGGGAGCCAGGUGGGGAGUGAAAAACCAGCCUCUACCUCAGAGCAAAGCCUGUCCAAGGAAGAUGGCGUGACUCUUGUCCUUGGAAAGACCCACGGAGCACUCCUAGGCACAUACCCACCCUGCUGAGUUGUUAAAUAAUAGGAGAGAUCUGCGGAGCCAGGUGUCCCUGACUCAGUCAGGCUAGGUGAGGUGCCACAGUCUGGCUGGGCACAAAUUACCAAGCCGCCACAAAGCACUUGUAUGUUCAAACAGGAAACUUUAUUGCCUGAACUCCAACAGCACUCCACACACACUCCCCGGGAACUCUCCCGAAUGCCACCCACGCGGCCCUUUUCCGGCACACCACACCAACCGGAACUCCCUCCACCGGAACUUCACCAACCAAUGCGAACUCCCCAGGAAAUCUCUCGAGAACUCCAAAGUAGCGGGCGCCCGAGGCAGACAGCAGGGGUCUAUAUACAAUUGAAUCAAUCCAGCAUCAUCUGAAUGGCUCGCCUCUCAACCAUUACUUCUGGAAAAAUGCCAGGGGCCAUUCUGACUCGGCUGUGGCCCUCAACAUCUCCCCCCUACUGUUUAAUUAAACAACAAGCAAUGUGGCUUAGGGACCGCG